RNAcentral lists this long non-coding RNA (1884 nucleotides) under Naja naja (Indian cobra). Its description in RNAcentral is "lncRNA (ENSNNAG00000015287.1)". Lineage: Eukaryota; Metazoa; Chordata; Lepidosauria; Squamata; Elapidae. The record is from RNAcentral.
GUGGAGGGCUGGGCCGUCUCGGGCUCGCACUCCCGCAGUAGCGGCGGCGGCGACACAGCUGACAGCUUGAGGGAUGCUCCGCUACGCAAGUCACAACAAUGCACUAUGACGUCACAUAAGGGAAUGGCGACUGCACAAAACAUCCCAGCCGAGGCGGCCGCGCUCGCGAGCAAACCGCACGAGACGCAGAGAAAAGAAAAGGCCUGCCACAGAUCUCGCGAGAGCUUGUGAAGACCCUGUAUUCAACCCACUCCUGUCUCCCUCCCCGCUGCCCUGUUCGCUUUACAAAUAGGGGGAAAUUAUUAAAACAGGACUACAUGUCCCAAGGUGCAAUACGCCCGAGCGCUGCGUUUGUGUUUGGUACGAGUACAGUGUGUGUUUUCGUUUGAAAGAUAAUCGUUUAUAUGCCGGGUGUUGUGGUUUGUGGGAGCUAAUAGAAAGGAAGGGUUUUUUUUGUCAGCAGUUCCAGGUCCGGUUCCAGGUGGGGGCGAGGCCCCCUCAACAAGAAAUGUCGGGUGCUCUUCCAUCGCAUUGGUCUCCAACAAACCCAAGGCAGCCGGCCAAUACAAGUUUGAAUCACGUCUUCUAUCUGCUAUGGCUCCCUUGUAUGGAAGGGCAAGGUGACAUCAUGACUGUGGACCAGGUCAAGGUCCCUGUUGCUGUGAAUUUGUUGAAGAGACAUUACAUUCAGCAUUUUUUAUUUAAUCAGUAUUCUAAAUAUUAAUUAGUUAAGCAAUCUAGUUAAUGAACUAAAUAGUACAUUAUUUUGGAGAUACCAUAAUUGCAUUAUGGUCAAGGUUGGUUUAGUAGUGUACAACUGUAAGAUUACUUAAGAUAUCAACAAAUAGAAGAAAAUAGAAUGUCAUUCCUAUUGCUACAAAAAAGGAAAUUCCUAGUCUUAAUAUUUCUGGAUUUUCUUAUAUAUUCCUACUGCUGACAACAUUGCUGCUUUCUUUUCUUUCUUUUUCAUAAUCCCUUGGGAUAAUUGUAUAAUUAUUUUGCACAUAAUUAUUGUUGUGCAAAAUAUUUACACAUAGACUAAUUUGGACUAUAAGUCUUCUGAGGUUUCCAACUGAUAUUAAUCCAAAGUUUUAGUUUAAAUAAAGCAAGAAAUUGUACCUUAAGCCAUAUGAGGUAAUUUGUGAAUAAACUAAUAUGUGAUAAUAGAGAGGAGUUUUUAAAUCUGACAGUCCAUCCACCUUAAUAAACCAUUAAGUUACAGGAAUUAGUGUACGAAUUAGUGUAUCAAAACCAAAAUGAGAAAUAUUUGUAGUUAUAUCUUAUCAUUACAGCACAACUAAUGUAUUUAGUGUAUUGCCUGCAUAGGUUUUUCUUUUAAGUAAUUUUUAUUUUGUAAUUGUUUUCAAUAUUAUAUCUAUUUUGCAUCUUUUGUAUUUUAUGAUUUAAAUCCUCAUAGGGCUUAUUGUUAAUAGGUAUGAUAAAAGUGUUGAACAUAACAAACAAAUUAAGUAUUUUUAAACUAUUACUUCAAUGUAUUUGUCGAUAACGAUUUAUAUCAGCAAUAAUGAUACUUUUAAAAGUAAGAAGCAAUGAUCUAACAUUCAUUGCUUCUAUUAUAUAAUUCUUUUCCUAAAAUUCUGAGAUUACAAAAGUAUAAGAAGAAAACUGUAAGGUAUUUUGUAAGAAGGUAUACAUCAGGUAGUAAAGGUUUGUAGGCUGUAGGUUGUAUAGGUCCAAACAACUGUUCAUUAGGUUACUCAGGCAAUAGAGGGAGAUGAGAUUAUCCAUUAAAAAUAUAUUACUUUUACAACUCCUGGCUUUGUCUUGUCUACUCAUUUGUAUUUCAGAAUUAUUUUUUCUGCUGUUUUCAGCAAUAAUGCCACCAUUAUUUGUGCUAACUCAUAACUAUUAAAAACCAGAAGA